Non-coding RNA from Podarcis lilfordi (Lilford's wall lizard), 72 nucleotides. NCBI's taxonomy places the organism in Eukaryota, Metazoa, Chordata, Lepidosauria, Squamata, Lacertidae. The record is from the annotation of a GenBank genome assembly.
AGGGCCAUAGCUCAGUGGCAGAGUAUCUGCUUUGCAUGCAGAAGGUCUCAGGUUCAUUCCAGGCAGGCUUGG